RNAcentral lists this long non-coding RNA (637 nucleotides) under Monodelphis domestica (gray short-tailed opossum). Its description in RNAcentral is "lncRNA (ENSMODG00000050032.1)". Lineage: Eukaryota; Metazoa; Chordata; Mammalia; Didelphimorphia; Didelphidae. The record is from RNAcentral.
UUGUGCACACCCACACUACACGGGCAUGUGCUAGUCAAUGACAAAUCAGAAAUAACUAACUGCCCACCUGGGCUGUCCUAAGCCAAGCUUGAGUCACCAUUGGCUCUUGUGAGGCACAGGAAGUGAGGUAGGGAACAGCCUCUGGAAUUUGCGCACUUCCUGUGGAGAGAGCUAGAGGGCAGUUGGUGUUAGAAGCUUGAACAGAGAGGAUGUCCGCAGACAGCUUCCCUUCAGAUCGCUCACCUGGUGUUUGUGAGUCCUGAAGAAACUGGUGCAUCUACCAGCAGCCUAGGUCCUGGGGCUGGGCCUGAGGCCAGAGUUGCUGGGGCUGGGACCAGGUGAGCGAUCUGAAUCCAGAAGGUCCAGAGCAGAUGACUGCAGGCAGGAGUGCAUAACAGGGAAACAUCUGACCCAAGAGCUUUCCUCUACUAGGAUGUCUCCUAUGUAUCUACUAAGAUAGUAUAGCAUCAAUGAGGGAGUCAAAAAACAAGAACACAGGCUUCUGUUUUGGAAGAUAUUUUGAAGCCAAAUGGAACAUGACUUUUCUACAGAUGUGAAGAUGGUUCUCCUAGAAUUUGACAUCCAUCUGAUGCUCCCUCUUGGGAAGCCAUCCUCUGUGACACAGGAUUUGACAAAA